Nicotiana tabacum (common tobacco) is the source of this 532-nucleotide non-coding RNA. The record is from RefSeq and is a predicted model, not a curated record. Lineage: Eukaryota; Viridiplantae; Streptophyta; Magnoliopsida; Solanales; Solanaceae.
UUUUUUUUUUUUUUUUUUUUUUUUUCUUUUUUCAUUCUUUUAAUAAAGCACCCUCCCCAUGGUUUAGAAGUUAGCAGUAAUUGUCAAUAUAACUGAGAUGAGUCAUAAAUAUGCUUCCAAAAAUAGGAGUUGUUUUGUUUUGAUCAGAAAAGAUAUUAGCUUUGUGCUAUGAUCAGAGCAGUCAAAUUGGCCAUUCCAAGAGCUAAAUGGGUGUACAUGCAUUGUUCAAACGCCAAAAGUAGUACAUUCUUGGAGGAUUUAACACGGUACGGCAAGAGUCCGGCCAACAUAGUUUACUAGUAUGUAACAUUUGAUAAAGCAUAGAUAGCAACAGCUAAUUAAAGACCCUUUGUGAGUCUUAUUUCCAUCAUUUUCUAUAACCAGUGGCUAUGCUAUUGAAAUCAGUGGCCAUGUCUCAUUCAUGUCUCAGCUGUAUGUGUUGAAGAGCAGAUGACUUGUUUCUGAUCAGUAGGACCUGAAAAUGUGUCAAGUUUAUACUUGGGCAGCAAUUGCAAUGGCUAUCCAUUUUUCU